UAUGGGACCUUGUAUGAUUGGCAUAAUGAGGGCUUGCUGUCUCCUCUUUCAACGUCAAUGNNNUUGAUCUCCCCGUGCAGAAGCGGGGAUAAACACAUAAGACGAGAAGACCCUAUGGAGCUUUAGACACUAAAGCAGAUCAGCAUUAAUCCCCUGAACAUAGGGCACGAAUAGACUGAUCCCUGCCCUAAAUGUCUUUGGUUGGGGCGACCGCGGAGAAAUAUAAAACCCCCGCAAAGACCGAGUGUACUACACUCACAACCAAGAGCAACAGCUCUAAAUUAACAGAACUUCUGACCAGUAAGAUCCGGCAAUGCCGAUCAAUGAACCGAGUUACCCUAAGGAUAACAGCGCAAUCUCCUCUUAGAGCCCAUAUCGACGAGGAGGUUUACGAACUCGAUGUUGGAUCAGGACAUCCUAAUGGUGCAACCGCUAUUAGGGUUCGUUUGUUCAACG
This 456-nucleotide ribosomal RNA is filed under the name Epinephelus daemelii (saddletail grouper). RNAcentral's name for it is "partial 16S ribosomal RNA". It matches the Rfam family "Bacterial large subunit ribosomal RNA", at positions 1979 to 2586 of the family's 2925-position model. The record is from RNAcentral. Lineage: Eukaryota; Metazoa; Chordata; Actinopteri; Perciformes; Serranidae.